RNAcentral lists this transfer RNA (69 nucleotides) under Ictidomys tridecemlineatus (thirteen-lined ground squirrel). RNAcentral describes it as "Spermophilus tridecemlineatus (thirteen-lined ground squirrel) tRNA". It matches the Rfam family "tRNA". From Rfam's summary of the family: Transfer RNA (tRNA) molecules are approximately 80 nucleotides in length. Their secondary structure includes four short double-helical elements and three loops (D, anti-codon, and T loops). Further hydrogen bonds mediate the characteristic L-shaped molecular structure. tRNAs have two regions of fundamental functional importance: the anti-codon, which is responsible for specific mRNA codon recognition, and the 3' end, to which the tRNAs corresponding amino acid is attached (by aminoacyl-tRNA synthetases). tRNAs cope with the degeneracy of the genetic code in two manners: having more than one tRNA (with a specific anti-codon) for a particular amino acid; and 'wobble' base-pairing, i.e. permitting non-standard base-pairing at the 3rd anti-codon position. The record is from Rfam by way of RNAcentral. Lineage: Eukaryota; Metazoa; Chordata; Mammalia; Rodentia; Sciuridae.
GGGAUUGUGGCUCAGUGGCAGAGCGCUUGCCUUGAACGUAGGAGGCACUGGGUUUGAUCCUCAGUACUA